Molecule: ribosomal RNA, 437 nt
Rfam family: Bacterial small subunit ribosomal RNA
ACGGGAGGCAGCAGUGGGGAAUAUUGGGCAAUGGGGGAAACCCUGACCCAGCAACGCCGCGUGAAGGAAGAAGGCUUUCGGGUUGUAAACUUCUUUUACCAGGGACGAAGGACGUGACGGUACCUGGAGAAAAAGCCACGGCUAACUACGUGCCAGCAGCCGCGGUAAUACGUAGGUGGCAAGCGUUAUCCGGAAUUACUGGGUGUAAAGGGAGCGCAGGCGGGAUAGCAAGUCAGCGGUGAAAUGUAUGGGCUUAACCCAUGAACUGCCGUUGAAACUGUUAUUCUUGAGUGGAGUAGAGGCGGGCGGAAUUCCGAGUGUAGCGGUGAAAUGCGUAGAUAUUCGGAGGAACACCAGUGGCGAAGGCGGCCUGCUGGGCUCUAACUGACGCUGAGGCUCGAAAGUGUGGGGAGCAAACAGGAUUAAAUACCCUGGUA